RNAcentral lists this long non-coding RNA (308 nucleotides) under Vigna radiata. RNAcentral's name for it is "long non-coding RNA (VRAD_LNC003372)". Lineage: Eukaryota; Viridiplantae; Streptophyta; Magnoliopsida; Fabales; Fabaceae. The record is from RNAcentral.
UAUUCGACAAACUAGCAUUAGCACAAAGAAAGCUUUUUAUGCCGGUUAGAAAAGGUUUUCUAUGUCGAUUCUAGAAUAAAAAUAGAUAUGACCGAUAUAGAAAGUUUUCACUUUCUAUGAAGGUUAUGUUAAAAUUGGCUUAGAAAGUCACACUUUCAUUUCAUUCCCAAAUUCUCCAUUAAACCCUAAUUCCACCAUAGGCAGCAUGUUUUACCCCGGCCUUAUACUCAUUAUCGUUGUCAUUUACUCCUUGCUCUUCUUCCUUCACCUCUUUGUUCACAUCUGCGAGGUUUGCGUUAUAAUCACCC